This 230-nucleotide ribosomal RNA is filed under the name uncultured bacterium. RNAcentral describes it as "partial 16S ribosomal RNA". It matches the Rfam family "Bacterial small subunit ribosomal RNA", at positions 565 to 793 of the family's 1533-position model. The record is from RNAcentral.
GAGAGUGCAGGCGGUUUUCUAAGUCUGAUGUGAAAGACCUUCGGCUUAACCGGAGAAGUGCAUCGGAAACUGGAUAACUUGAGUGCAGAAGAGGGUAGUGGAACUCCAUGUGUAGCGGUGGAAUGCGUAGAUAUAUGGAAGAACACCAGUGGCGAAGGCGGCUACCUGGUCUGCAACUGACGCUGAGACUCGAAAGCAUGGGUAGCGAACAGGAUUAGAUACCCUGGUAG